Molecule: ribosomal RNA, 811 nt
Filed under: uncultured archaeon
Lineage: Archaea
Description: bacterial SSU rRNA
Rfam family: Archaeal small subunit ribosomal RNA
Source: RNAcentral
GUUACUGCUAUCGGAGUUCGAGUAAGCCAUGCGAGUCUAAAGGUUUCUUUCGGGAAGCCUUGGCGGACUGCUCAGUAACACGUGGAUAACCUACCCUUAGGAUUGGGAUAACCCCGGGAAACUGGGGAUAAUACCGGAUAGAUCAAGGAUGCUGGAAUGCACCUUGAUCCAGAGCUCCGGCGCCUAAGGAUGGGUCUGCGGCCUAUCAGGUUGUAGUGGGUGUAACGUACCUACUAGCCGACGACGGGUACGGGUUGUGAGAGCAAGAGCCCGGAGAUGGAUUCUGAGACACGAAUCCAGGCCCUACGGGGUGCAGCAGGCGCGAAACCUUUACAAUGUGCGAAAGCAUGAUAAGGGGACUCCGAGUGCCAGCAUCUAAUGUUGGCUGUCCUUGUGCCUAAAAAGCACAAGAUAGCAAGGGCCGGGUAAGACCGGUGCCAGCCGCCGCGGUAACACCGGCGGCCCGAGUGGUAGCCGCUAUUAUUGGGUCUAAAGGGUCCGUAGCCGGUUCGGUAAGUCCUCUGGGAAAUCUGGUUGCUUAACAAUCAGACUGCCAAAGGAUACUGCUGAACUUGAGACCGGGAGAGGUAAGAGGUACUUCAGGGGUAGGAGUGAAAUCUUGUGAUCCCUGGGGGACCAUCUGUGGCGAAGGCGUCUUACCAGAACGGGUCUGACGGUGAGGGACGAAAGCUGGGGGCGCAAACCGGAUUAGAUACCCGGGUAGUCCCAGCUGUAAACGAUGCUCGCUAUGUGUCAGGUACGGUGCGACCGUAUCUGGUGCCGUAGGGAAGCCGUGAAGCGAGCCACCUGG